Molecule: non-coding RNA, 119 nt
Organism: Picea glauca (white spruce)
Lineage: Eukaryota; Viridiplantae; Streptophyta; Pinopsida; Pinales; Pinaceae
Source: Rfam
GGGUGCAAUCAUACCAGCGUUAAUGCACCGGAUCCCAUCAGAACUCCGCAGUUAAGUGUGCUUGGGAUAGAGUAGUACUGGGAUGGGUGACCUCCUGGGAAGUCCCAGUGUUGCCCCCU